GGUUAGGUGGCUGAGCGGCCCAAAGCAUCGGUCUGCAAAACCGAAUUUCGCGGGUUCAACUCCCGCCCUAACCU
RNAcentral lists this transfer RNA (74 nucleotides) under Microcoleus sp. LEGE 07076. Its description in RNAcentral is "tRNA-Cys". It matches the Rfam family "tRNA". From Rfam's summary of the family: Transfer RNA (tRNA) molecules are approximately 80 nucleotides in length. The record is from RNAcentral. Lineage: Bacteria; Bacillati; Cyanobacteriota; Cyanophyceae; Oscillatoriales; Microcoleaceae.